Molecule: long non-coding RNA, 288 nt
Filed under: Linum usitatissimum (flax)
Lineage: Eukaryota; Viridiplantae; Streptophyta; Magnoliopsida; Malpighiales; Linaceae
Description: long non-coding RNA (LUSI_LNC000842)
Source: RNAcentral
UGGCGAUCACGUUCGUGGCGGAGGCGGCUGUCAUCGACUAGGAGACUGCGUCGUAGAUGCUGGUGUUCGUCUGCUCGUCGAGGAGCAUAUUACUGGAACUGAAGUUUCCGUGAAUUAUAUUAUCUCUUGUGUGGGUAUGGUACAAAGGAGAAAAUAGAAACUUUAAUUCAUAAUAAAAAAAAAGAAAGUAAAAGAAGCUAGCUUUCUCUUCUCCGGUAUUUUGUCUCUACUUCCUGCAACGUAUUUGAUAUUUCUUUUGACCAUCCUUUCUUUAUUGUUUGAUGUCAA